RNAcentral lists this ribosomal RNA (779 nucleotides) under uncultured Neocallimastigales. RNAcentral describes it as "partial large subunit ribosomal RNA". It matches the Rfam family "Eukaryotic large subunit ribosomal RNA", at positions 24 to 645 of the family's 3401-position model. The record is from RNAcentral. Lineage: Eukaryota; Fungi; Neocallimastigomycota; Neocallimastigomycetes; Neocallimastigales.
UACGACUACAUAUCAGGCAUAUCAAUAAGCGGAGGAAAAGAAACUAACUAGGAUUCCCUUAGUAACGGCGAGUGAAGCGGGAAGAGCUCAAGUUUGAAAUCUUCAAGGUUUUACCUUGACGAAUUGUAGUUUAAAGAAGUGUUUUCUGUUGAAGUUUUGGUAAAAGUUCUUUGGAAUAGGACAUCAUAGAGGGUGAGAAUCCCGUAUUUGACCAGUUACUUUCCAGCUGUUGUGAUACACUUUCAAAGAGUCGGAUUGUUUGGGAAUGCAGUCCAAAAUGGGUGGUAAAUUUCAUCUAAAGCUAAAUAUUGGCGAGAGACCGAUAGCGAACAAGUACCGUGAGGGAAAGAUGAAAAGAACUUUGAAAAGAGAGUUAAACAGUACGUGAAAUUGUCAAAAGGGAAGCGUUUGACACCAGUGUUGUUUUCUCGAAAAUCAAUUAAAAAAUGCUUGAUUUUGUGUUGUAUUGACCUUAAAAGCUUUCUUCACUUUUUUCAUGUCUCUUUUAAUGCACUUUUCGUUUAACAAGUCAACAUCAGUUUCUUUUGUUGUAAAAAGGUCAUUGGAAGGUGGCUUUCUUUUCGGAGAAAGUGUUUAUAGCCUUUGACUCCUGCAAUCGGAGAGACUGAGGUCUGCAGCGUAGAUCCUUCUUGGAUUAGAUUCAUUUGUGCUAAGUUAUAGCUUUUCAUAGACAACUUGUUGACUAUGUUUAGUCAUUGUAGCUUACUCGCUUAUGUAAUUUUACCUACGCUUAGGAUGUUGAUCUCUCACAGUCGAGC